This 255-nucleotide ribosomal RNA is filed under the name uncultured bacterium. RNAcentral's name for it is "partial 16S ribosomal RNA". It matches the Rfam family "Bacterial small subunit ribosomal RNA", at positions 524 to 776 of the family's 1533-position model. The record is from RNAcentral.
UACGAAGGGGGCUAGCGUUGCUCGGAAUCACUGGGCGUAAAGGGUGCGUAGGCGGGUCUUUAAGUCAGGGGUGAAAUCCUGGAGCUCAACUCCAGAACUGCCUUUGAUACUGAAGAUCUUGAGUUCGGGAGAGGUGAGUGGAACUGCGAGUGUAGAGGUGAAAUUCGUAGAUAUUCGCAAGAACACCAGUGGCGAAGGCGGCUCACUGGCCCGAUACUGACGCUGAUGCACGAAAAGCUAGGGGGAGCAAACAGG